AUAGCGUAUAUUAAAGUUGUUGCAGUUAAAAAGCUCGUAGUUGGAUUUGUGGUGUGUCCUGUCGGGCCGUGGGCUUUGCCCGUGUGCCUGUACGGGUCUGCCUUUUAUGGGACUGUUGGCUGUGUGGCAUUAGGUUGUCGCAUUGUCGAUGCCCAUCUUUUACUGUGAAAAAAUUAGAGUGUUCAAAGCAGGCUUAUGCCGUUGAAUAUAUUAGCAUGGAAUAAUGAUAUAGGACCUUGGUACUAUUUUGUUGGUUUGCGCACUAAGGUAAUGAUUAAUAGGGACAGUUGGGGGUAUUCGUAUUCCAUUGUCAGAGGUGAAAUUCUUGGAUUUUUGGAAGACGAACUACUGCGAAAGCAUUUACCAAGGAUGUUUUC
This 377-nucleotide ribosomal RNA is filed under the name Nitzschia inconspicua. RNAcentral's name for it is "SSU rRNA". It matches the Rfam family "Eukaryotic small subunit ribosomal RNA", at positions 594 to 971 of the family's 1831-position model. Lineage: Eukaryota; Bacillariophyta; Bacillariophyceae; Bacillariales; Bacillariaceae. The record is from RNAcentral.